This 253-nucleotide ribosomal RNA is filed under the name uncultured bacterium. RNAcentral's name for it is "partial 16S ribosomal RNA". It matches the Rfam family "Bacterial small subunit ribosomal RNA", at positions 524 to 776 of the family's 1533-position model. The record is from RNAcentral.
UACGAAGGGGGCUAGCGUUGUUCGGAAUUACUGGGCGUAAAGGGCGCGUAGGCGGUGUGUCAAGUCAGGCGUGAAAGCCCCGGGCUCAACCUGGGAACCGCGCUUGAGACUGGCACGCUCGAGUUCGGGAGAGGAUGGUGGAAUUCCCAGUGUAGAGGUGAAAUUCGUAGAUAUUCGGAAGAACACCGGUGGCGAAGGCGGUUCUCUGGGCAUUACCUGACGCUGAGGAGCGAAAGUGUGGGGAGCGAACAGG